This 73-nucleotide transfer RNA is filed under the name Bos taurus (domestic cattle). It matches the Rfam family "tRNA". From Rfam's summary of the family: Transfer RNA (tRNA) molecules are approximately 80 nucleotides in length. Their secondary structure includes four short double-helical elements and three loops (D, anti-codon, and T loops). Lineage: Eukaryota; Metazoa; Chordata; Mammalia; Artiodactyla; Bovidae. RNAcentral also lists the same sequence under 1 other name. The record is from Rfam by way of RNAcentral.
UCCCUGGCGGUCUAGUGGCUAAGACUCUGCAUUGCUAAUGCAGGGAGCUUGGGUUCAAUCCCUGGUCAGGAAC